Small nuclear RNA from Sorex araneus (European shrew), 162 nucleotides. Its record names the gene U1. It matches the Rfam family "U1 spliceosomal RNA". Rfam says of the family: U1 is a small nuclear RNA (snRNA) component of the spliceosome (involved in pre-mRNA splicing). Its 5' end forms complementary base pairs with the 5' splice junction, thus defining the 5' donor site of an intron. There are significant differences in sequence and secondary structure between metazoan and yeast U1 snRNAs, the latter being much longer (568 nucleotides as compared to 164 nucleotides in human). NCBI's taxonomy places the organism in Eukaryota, Metazoa, Chordata, Mammalia, Eulipotyphla, Soricidae. The record is from Ensembl.
GUAUGUAAUCGGCAGGGGAGAUACCAUGAUCACAAAGAUAGUUUUCCCAGGUUGAGGCUUCACCAUCACACUCUGGAUGUGCUGCCCCCUGCAAUUCCUCCACAUGUGGGAGAUUCUGGGGCAUAGUUCGUGAUAGUGGGGUACUGCGUUCACACUACCCCU